This 520-nucleotide ribosomal RNA is filed under the name uncultured bacterium. Its description in RNAcentral is "bacterial SSU rRNA". It matches the Rfam family "Bacterial small subunit ribosomal RNA", at positions 8 to 524 of the family's 1533-position model. The record is from RNAcentral.
AGAGUUUGAUCCUGGCUCAGAUUGAACGCUGGCGGAAUGCUUUACACAUGCAAGUCGAGCGGCAGCGCGGGGCAACCUGGCGGCGAGCGGCGAACGGGUGAGUAAUGCAUCGGAACAUGUCCAUGUCGUGGGGGAUAGCCCGGCGAAAGCCGGAUUAAUACCGCAUACGCUCGGGAGAGGAAAGCCGGGGACCGCAAGGCCUGGCGCGAUUGGGUUGGCCGAUGUCCGAUUAGCUUGUUGGUGAGGUAAAGGCUUACCAAGGCGAUGAUCGGUAGCUGGUCUGAGAGGAUGAUCAGCCACACUGGGACUGAGACACGGCCCAGACUCCUACGGGAGGCAGCAGUGGGGAAUUUUGGACAAUGGGGGCAACCCUGAUCCAGCCAUUCCGCGUGAGUGAAGAAGGCCUUCGGGUUGUAAAGCUCUUUUGUCCGGAGCGAAACGGGCGCGGCUAAUACCUGCGUCCACUGACGGUACCGGAAGAAUAAGCACCGGCUAACUACGUGCCAGCAGCCGCGGUAAU